CAAACGCCACCUUCUGUUUCCUCAGCACAAUGAGACUUUCGUGACCCCAGGCUUUCGACUUCUGCUCUGCCACCUCACCCAUGGCAUUGACAAAGCCCUGAGGAAAAUCUCAGAGAUAGAUAAAUAUAGGACUCACAUAAAUCUGCCUCCCUUGUUUCCAGAAUUUGUAGCCCCGUAGUUCUGUCUGCCAUGGUGGUUCCCUAAUGCUUUAAAAGAGUGGACUCACGUACUAAUCUUUUCUAUUUUUUAGGGGAGGGUUAGUCUCACACAAGCUGCCUUGUUAUAGAGGACAUUGGAAACCACUGGAUUAUAUGAAGAAAUUAAGGACUAGAAUCACUGGUGCAAGAUCACACUGGGGAAAAGUGACAGAACCAAAUUUCAAACUCCAGUCUUUCUGCUUCUAGAGAUUGAACUACUAACAUCUGCAUUAUAUAAAAUUAAGUCUCUCAAGGUAGUUUGUGAAACGUAACAUACAAAUAAGUGAUUAAAAUUUUUGGUGAUACCCUCUUGUUCCUCUUUCUUCAACACCCUAGAUUUGAGAUAUUCUUGUUUUAGAGUAUGGGGGUCAGAGUUGUGGGGGACAAUAGACAUCUAUUGAACCUCUCUAAACAUUUUUCUUGAACACAAAUAACUAGAAGCAAUAAGGGAAAGCUAAAUAAUAUCUCCCAUAAAAAAAUCUAUUACUACACACCACUGGAUUUAAUGCUUGCUCUAAAAAAUUAUUGAUAUGCUCAAUAUCUUCCUUUUAAUUUACCAAGCAGCUUCCAGAGAAUUUAGGUGAGGUAGAUAAUAAAAGAGAUAAUAAGUGGCACAUGAAAGGUGAUGAAGUUUAAAUUUAAGAACAUAUUUUGAAAAUCCUGCUAAUAAAUGUUGACUAUUUCCAGGCUCUUUAUUCAUCUUGUAGUACAGCAACAAGAUGGCAGCAUUACCAGCAAUUCAAAAUAGAUACAAAUUUAAAAUGAUGUUAUUUGAUAUAUAGCCAUGAAGAAGGAUCUUUGUUCCAUUUUAUUAUCUGUUUCCUAUGGUUAAUAACCUUAAAUAUUGCCUUGAUUCUAUCCACUCUGUUCUUGAUGUAUAAUUUCCAAACUCAAAGCUAGAUUGAGGCAUACGAUUCUCACUCUUACAUACGUUUUUCUUUCUGAAAAAUGUUUUUUAUUGUGAAAACAUAUUUUUCCUGAUCCUUGUUUAAAACCAUGACACAAAUUAAUCAAUCUACCUCCACACCAUCUGCGGCCCCCUAAAAAGAAGCAUAACUUUUCAUCAAAGAUUAGCACAUUACUCAUCCAACUAGAUUAUAGAAAUGAUAAAAACCCAUGUCAGCAGGCUCUUAGGGUGUUCAGUGGUUACGUUAGAGAAGUUGUAAAAUAAUACAAUUAUUGGAUGAU
RNAcentral lists this long non-coding RNA (1385 nucleotides) under Homo sapiens (human). RNAcentral describes it as "HSALNT0081384". The record is from RNAcentral. Lineage: Eukaryota; Metazoa; Chordata; Mammalia; Primates; Hominidae.